GACGACAGUUGAGCAUUGAUGGUGAGACAAUUGAGGUCUUUGAAGCCACUGCUUGAAACUCAAAUGGCAAUCCAAGUUCCUCUGCCAGCUUUUCAAGCCUUUGUCCUAUGAUGCUCAUGCCACCAAUGGAGCGCUGCACAGUCUCAGGAUCAUCCACCCCAGUUAAUCUCACAUGAUGUGGUCUACCUGGCAUUGAUGCAAGUGUUUGUAUUAGAGUUAUGUACUGAGUUCCUUGGCUGAUGUCAAAGUCUAUUAUGUGAACCUUCUUUUCA
RNAcentral lists this long non-coding RNA (272 nucleotides) under Phaseolus vulgaris (common bean). RNAcentral describes it as "long non-coding RNA (PVUL_LNC004871)". Lineage: Eukaryota; Viridiplantae; Streptophyta; Magnoliopsida; Fabales; Fabaceae. The record is from RNAcentral.